UACGUAGGGUGCGAGCGUUGUCCGGAAUUACUGGGCGUAAAGUGUGCGCAGGUGGCCGCGCAAGUCGAGUGUGAAAGCCCCGGGCUUAACUUGGGAAUUGCGCUCGAAACUACGUGGCUAGAGUGUGGCAGAGGGAGGUGGAAUUCCACGUGUAGCGGUGAAAUGCGUAGAGAUGUGGAGGAACACCAAUGGCGAAGGCAGCCUCCUGGGCCAACACUGACACUCAUGCACGAAAGCGUGGGGAGCAAACAGG
Molecule: ribosomal RNA, 253 nt
Filed under: uncultured bacterium
Lineage: Bacteria
Description: partial 16S ribosomal RNA
Rfam family: Bacterial small subunit ribosomal RNA
Source: RNAcentral